Molecule: ribosomal RNA, 435 nt
Filed under: uncultured bacterium
Lineage: Bacteria
Description: bacterial SSU rRNA
Rfam family: Bacterial small subunit ribosomal RNA
Source: RNAcentral
CAGGCCUAACACAUGCAAGUCGAGCGCGCCUUUCGGGGUGAGCGGCGGACGGGUGAGUAACGCGUGGGAACGUGCCCUUUGCUUCGGAAUAGUCCCGGGAAACUGGGGGUAAUACCGGAUACGCCCUAUUGGGGAAAGAUUUAUCGGCGAAGGAUCGGCCCGCGUUGGAUUAGGUAGUUGGUGGGGUAAUGGCCUACCAAGCCGACGAUCCAUAGCUGGUUUGAGAGGAUGAUCAGCCACACUGGGACUGAGACACGGCCCAGACUCCUACGGGAGGCAGCAGUGGGGAAUCUUAGACAAUGGGGGCAACCCUGAUCUAGCCAUGCCGCGUGAGUGAUGAAGGCCUUAGGGUUGUAAAGCUCUUUCAGCUGGGAAGAUAAUGACGGUACCAGCAGAAGAAGCCCCGGCUAACUCCGUGCCAGCAGCCGCGGUAAU